This 792-nucleotide long non-coding RNA is filed under the name Populus tremula. RNAcentral's name for it is "long non-coding RNA (PTRE_LNC003336)". The record is from RNAcentral. Lineage: Eukaryota; Viridiplantae; Streptophyta; Magnoliopsida; Malpighiales; Salicaceae.
UGGUCUUCGAAUUCAUGACCCACCAGCUUUGUCGUUGGUAGUGCAUCUUCUUUAAUCUCAUCUAUGUUCCAUGUAAGCCCUCCAAAAGAGCUAGCUCCUGCACCAGGCUGCACUACUCCUCUAGUCCCGUUAUCUAUAUCAUCCUCUGUUGACAAAUUACAGAUCUCAUCCAAACUUCUCUCAAUUGAUUGACCCGUUACAUCUGGUGCUUGUAUCCUUCCAGCAUCCCAGCCAAAUUGUCAAGUACUGCUUUGUUUUGUUCUAGCAGACCGGUUGAAAUAGCAUAAUCAUUAACAUUGCUCGAACUUUCUAUGCUUUUAUCUCCUCGAGGCUCAUCAGCUUGAUUAAUUGAUGGCCUCUCACAAGAGCUACCUCUCUCCAGAUGCUGCACUUGUUCUGUUCUCGGUACAGUUUCAAAUCCAUCAUGCAGACGCUCCACAUCCUCAUCUUCCUGCAUUAAAUAGGUAGAGAUUGCAUUCAGCUUCUGCUCCUUUGAAAGGGCAGAGUGUAUCUGAUCCCAAUUAUAAUCAGCAAAUGGAUCCACCAAAUCUGUUCCUGGUGUUGCUUCUCCUCUAUUCUCAUGAGCAUCAACUCUGAGUCUCCAAGGAGAGACACUUCUGUCAACAUGCUGAAAAGAUCCUUCACCAGUGUAUUCCAUGCCACUUGCCGCUUCUAAACGCGAAUGAAUUCUCUCAGGCCCACAACCUUGUGCCAAAUUACCAAGUACUGCAUUGUCUUGAUCUUGUCGACAGGUGGAAAUGUCAACAUUGCUUGAACUUGCUAUGCUUUUAU